GACGGAGGAUGCAAGUGUUAUCCGGAAUCACUGGGCGUAAAGCGUCUGUAGGUGGCUCGACAAGUCAACUGUUAAAUCUUGAAGCUCAACUUCAAAAUCGCAGUCGAAACUAUCGGACUAGAGUAUAGUAGAGGUAAAGGGAAUUUCCAGUGGAGCGGUGAAAUGCGUAGAGAUUGGAAAGAACACCGAUGGCGAAGGCACUUUACUGGGCUAUUACUGACACUCAGAGACGAAAGCUAGGGUAGCAAAUGGG
RNAcentral lists this ribosomal RNA (253 nucleotides) under uncultured bacterium. RNAcentral's name for it is "partial 16S ribosomal RNA". It matches the Rfam family "Bacterial small subunit ribosomal RNA", at positions 524 to 776 of the family's 1533-position model. The record is from RNAcentral.